RNAcentral lists this ribosomal RNA (446 nucleotides) under uncultured bacterium. RNAcentral's name for it is "partial 16S ribosomal RNA". It matches the Rfam family "Bacterial small subunit ribosomal RNA", at positions 330 to 792 of the family's 1533-position model. The record is from RNAcentral.
UCCAGACUCCUACGGGAGGCAGCAGUGGGGGAUAUUGCACAAUGGGGGGAACCCUGAUGCAGCGACGCCGCGUGGGUGAAGGAGCGUUUCGGCGCGUAAAGCCCUAUCGGCAGGGAAGAAGGAGGACGGUACCUGACUAAGAAGCCCCGGCUAACUACGUGCCAGCAGCCGCGGUAAUACGUAGGGGGCAAGCGUUAUCCGGAUUUACUGGGUGUAAAGGGGGCGCAGACGGCAGCGCAAGCCAGGAGUGAAAGCCCGGGGCCCAACCCCGGGACUGCUCUUGGAACUGCGCGGCUGGAGUGCAGGAGGGGCAGGCGGAAUUCCUGGCGUAGCGGUGAAAUGCGUAGAUAUCAGGAGGAACACCGGUGGCGAAGGCGGCCUGCUGGACUGCGACUGACGUUGAGGCCCGAAAGCGUGGGGAGCAAACAGGAUUAGAUACCCGAGUA